AACGAACGCUGGCGGCAUGCCUAACACAUGCAAGUCGAACGAGAUCUUCGGGUCUAGUGGCGCACGAGUGCGUAACGCGUGGGAAUCUGCCCUUUGGUUCGGAAUAACAGUUGGAAACGACUGCUAAUACCGGAUGAUGACGAAAGUCCAAAGAUUUAUCGCCAGAGGAUGAGCCCGCGUAGGAUUAGCUAGUUGGUGUGGUAAAGGCGCACCAAGGCGACGAUCCUUAGCUGGUCUGAGAGAAUGAUCAGCCACACUGGGACUGAGAAACGGCCCAGACUCCUACGGGAGGCAGCAGUGGGGAAUAUUGGAUAAUGGGCGAAAGCCUUAUCCAGCAAUGCCGCGUGAGUGAUGAAGGCCUUAGGGUUGUAAAGCUCUUUUACCCGGGAUGAUAAUGACAGUACCGGGAGAAUAAGCUCCGGCUAACUCCGUGCCAGCAGCCGCCGCGG
Molecule: ribosomal RNA, 449 nt
Filed under: uncultured bacterium
Lineage: Bacteria
Description: partial 16S ribosomal RNA
Rfam family: Bacterial small subunit ribosomal RNA
Source: RNAcentral